AUACCAUGAUGAGCACAUUUUCAUAAUAAUUCCUUAAAUCGUUAUCAUGCCUCAUACAAGGACUCAUCAUCAGAUUGCUGAAACGUAGUAAUUUCAUUUCUAAGCUU
Gossypium raimondii (Peruvian cotton) is the source of this 107-nucleotide small nucleolar RNA. It matches the Rfam family "Plant small nucleolar RNA R71". Rfam says of the family: R71 is a member of the C/D box family of snoRNAs containing the C (UGAUGA) and D (CUGA) box motifs. Lineage: Eukaryota; Viridiplantae; Streptophyta; Magnoliopsida; Malvales; Malvaceae. The record is from Rfam.